This 255-nucleotide ribosomal RNA is filed under the name uncultured bacterium. Its description in RNAcentral is "partial 16S ribosomal RNA". It matches the Rfam family "Bacterial small subunit ribosomal RNA", at positions 524 to 776 of the family's 1533-position model. The record is from RNAcentral.
UACGUAGGGUGCGAGCGUUUAAUCGGAAUUACUGGGCGUAAAGCGUGCGCAGGCGGUGAUGUAAGACAGAUGUGAAAUCCCCGGGCUCAACCUGGGAACUGCAUUUGUGACUGCAUCGCUGGAGUGCGGCAGAGGGGGAUGGAAUUCCGCGUGUAGCAGUGAAAUGCGUAGAUAUGCGGAGGAACACCGAUGGCGAAGGCAAUCCCCUGGGCCUGCACUGGACGCUCAUGCACGAAAGCGUGGGGAGCAAACAGG